GAUGAACGCUGGCGGCGUGCCUAAUACAUGCAAGUCGAGCGAACAGAUGAGGAGCUUGCUCCUCUGACGUUAGCGGCGGACGGGUGAGUAACACGUGGAUAACCUACCUAUAAGACUUGGAUAACUUCGGGAAACCGGAGCUACUACCGGAUAAUAUAUUGAACCGCAUGGUUCAAUAGUGAAAGACGGUUUUGCUGUCACUUAUAGAUGGAUCCGCGCCGCAUUAGCUAGUUGGUAAGGUAACGGCUUACCAAGGCAACGAUGCGUAGCCGACCUGAGAGGGUGAUCGGCCACACUGGAACUGAGACACGGUCCAGACUCCUACGGGAGGCAGCAGUAGGGAAUCUUCCGCAAUGGGCGAAAGCCUGACGGAGCAACGCCGCGUGAGUGAUGAAGGUCUUCGGAUCGUAAAACUCUGUUAUUAGGGAAGAACAAAUGUGUAAGUAACUAUGCACGUCUUGACGGUACCUAAUCAGAAAGCCACGGCUAACUACGUG
Molecule: ribosomal RNA, 497 nt
Filed under: uncultured bacterium
Lineage: Bacteria
Description: partial 16S ribosomal RNA
Rfam family: Bacterial small subunit ribosomal RNA
Source: RNAcentral